CGGCAGGCCUAACACAUGCAAGUCGAGCGGAAACGAGUUAACUGACCCUUCGGGUGACGGUUAACGGCGUCGAGCGGCGGACGGGUGAGUAAUGCCUGGGAAAUUGCCCUGAUGUGGGGGAGUAACCAUUGGAAACGAUGGCUAAUACCGCAUAAUGCCUUCGGGCCAAAGAGGGGGGGGAACCGUUCGGGGGCCUCUCGCGUCAGGAUAUGCCCAGGUGGGAUUAGCUAGUUGGUGAGGUAAUGGCUCACCAAGGCGACGAUCCCUAGCUGGUCUGAGAGGAUGAUCAGCCACACUGGAACUGAGACACGGUCCAGACUCCUACGGGAGGCAGCAGUGGGGAAUAUUGCACAAUGGGCGCAAGCCUGAUGCAGCCAUGCCGCGUGUGUGAAGAAGGCCUUCGGGUUGUAAAGCACUUUCAGCAGUGAGGAAGGCGGGUACGUUAAUAGCGUGCUCGUUUGACGUUAGCUGCAGAAGAAGCACCGGCUAACUCCGUG
Molecule: ribosomal RNA, 497 nt
Filed under: uncultured bacterium
Lineage: Bacteria
Description: bacterial SSU rRNA
Rfam family: Bacterial small subunit ribosomal RNA
Source: RNAcentral